GGUGGUGGUGCAUGGCCGUUCUUA
This 24-nucleotide non-coding RNA is filed under the name Drosophila melanogaster (fruit fly). RNAcentral also lists the same sequence under 4 other names. The record is from RNAcentral. Lineage: Eukaryota; Metazoa; Arthropoda; Insecta; Diptera; Drosophilidae.